AGAGGAAGUAAAAGUCGUAACAAGGUCUCCGUAGGUGAACCUGCGGAGGGAUCAUUACCGAGUUCAUGCCCUUACGGGUAGACCUCCCACCCUAUGUUAUAUUACCUUUGUUGCUUUGGCGGGCCGCCCGGCUUCGGCCAGGCUACCGGCUCCAGCUGGUAAGCGCUCGCCAGAGGACCCUCAACUCUGAAUAUCAGUGUCGUCUGAGUACUAUAAAAUAGUUAAAACUUUCAACAACGGAUCUCUUGGUUCUGGCAUCGAUGAAGAACGCAGCGAAAUGCGAUAAGUAAUGUGAAUUGCAGAAUUCAGUGAAUCAUCGAAUCUUUGAACGCACAUUGCGCCCCUUGGUAUUCCGAGGGGCAUGCCUGUUCGAGCGUCAUUACAACCCUCAAGCACUGCUUGGUAUUGGGCUCCGCUGGCUCCAGCGGGCCUUAAAAUCAGUGGCGGCGCCGUUUGGGCUCUGAGCGUAGUAAAUAUCCUCGCUAUAGAGACCAGGCGGUUCUUGUCAUCAACCCCCAACUUUCUAAGUUUGACCUCGGAUCAGGUAGGGAUACCCGCUGAACUUAAGCAUAUCAAU
Molecule: ribosomal RNA, 577 nt
Filed under: uncultured fungus
Lineage: Eukaryota; Fungi
Description: eukaryotic LSU rRNA
Rfam family: 5.8S ribosomal RNA (bases 226-379)
Source: RNAcentral